AGAGUUUGAUCCUGGCUCAGAGCGAACGCUGGCGGCAUGCUUAACACAUGCAAGUCGCACGGUCAGCAAUGGCAGUGGCGGACGGGUGAGUAACGCGUAGGAAUCUAUCUCUGGGUGGGGGACAACCGUGGGAAACUACGGCUAAUACCGCAUGAUACCUGAGGGUCAAAGGCGCGAGUCGCCUGGAGAGGAGCCUGCGUCUGAUUAGCUAGUUGGUGGGGUAAAGGCUUACCAAGGCGACGAUCAGUAGCUGGUCUGAGAGGAUGAUCAGCCACAUUGGGACUGAGACACGGCCCAAACUCCUACGGGAGGCAGCAGUGGGGAAUAUUGGACAAUGGGCGCAAGCCUGAUCCAGCAAUGCCGCGUGUGUGAAGAAGGUCUUCGGAUUGUAAAGCACUUU
RNAcentral lists this ribosomal RNA (400 nucleotides) under uncultured bacterium. RNAcentral's name for it is "bacterial SSU rRNA". It matches the Rfam family "Bacterial small subunit ribosomal RNA", at positions 8 to 436 of the family's 1533-position model. The record is from RNAcentral.